Pristis pectinata (smalltooth sawfish) is the source of this 479-nucleotide long non-coding RNA. RefSeq lists it as uncharacterized. The transcript is spliced from 3 exons. The record is from RefSeq and is a predicted model, not a curated record. NCBI's taxonomy places the organism in Eukaryota, Metazoa, Chordata, Chondrichthyes, Rhinopristiformes, Pristidae.
CAACAGUUAAAUUACAGCAAAUCACUUUUCAGGUCACACAGAAAAAUGAAGGAAAAAGCAUAAACUCAAUGACCAGGGUAGAGGAGUCGAAAACUAGAGGGCAAAGACUUAAGGUGUCACGCUGCCCAAGGAGAACACAUUUACUCUUUAUCAGAGAAUUGGAAAAAGUAGCACAAAUAGCAAAGCCUACAGCUUUCAUUGAACUUUCCAUAAGCAACAUGAAGAGAUUGCAAGAAGUUACUUCCAAUUGUCCGGAGAAACAAUGCAGGUGGCAGGAGACUGAAAAGACUAACAGAGCCUUUCUGAAGUCAUUCAAAGCAUUUUUAGACAGGAUAAACAGAUGUUAAGAAAAUAGUGCAAGAUUGCUUCACAAUAUUUCCUAUUUCAAUUAUUUUAUCACAAAAAUGGCAAAAGUUGAACUUUUAAUACAGCUGGAUUAUUUAACAAAAAUGGAAAAUUACAUAUUGUUGGAAAUCUGC